This 205-nucleotide long non-coding RNA is filed under the name Elaeis guineensis (African oil palm). Its description in RNAcentral is "long non-coding RNA (EGUI_LNC070547)". Lineage: Eukaryota; Viridiplantae; Streptophyta; Magnoliopsida; Arecales; Arecaceae. The record is from RNAcentral.
GCUAGUAGGGAACUUCAAUUUCAAAUGAUAGAUUGACACCACGGCCCGGAGAGCAUUGAGGUCGGAUCGGUCGAGUAUAGCGUUGUAGGCUUUCACCAAAACCCUAGAUUGUCUUGGAUAUCGACCCACAACCACAGUCACGGUCGCCGCCGGGACCUGCAAAGAAAGUCUAAACCGAAAUUGGAGUUGCUCUGGCAAGAUCCUC